This 468-nucleotide ribosomal RNA is filed under the name uncultured bacterium. RNAcentral's name for it is "bacterial SSU rRNA". It matches the Rfam family "Bacterial small subunit ribosomal RNA", at positions 27 to 507 of the family's 1533-position model. The record is from RNAcentral.
CGGACGAACGCUGGCGGCGUGCUUAACACAUGCAAGUCGAACGGUGACGAGGAGCUUGCUCCUCUGAUCAGUGGCGAACGGGUGAGUAACACGUGAGCAACCUGCCCCAGACUCUGGGAUAACAGUUGGAAACAGCUGCUAAUACCGGAUACGAGACGGAGAGGCAUCUCUACCGUCUGGAAAGUUUUUCGGUCUGGGAUGGACUCGCGGCCUAUCAGCUAGUUGGUGAGGUAAUGGCUCACCAAGGCGACGACGGGUAGCCGGCCUGAGAGGGCGACCGGCCACACUGGGACUGAGACACGGCCCAGACUCCUACGGGAGGCAGCAGUGGGGAAUAUUGCACAAUGGGUGAAAGCCUGAUGCAGCGACGCCGCGUGAGGGAUGACGGCCUUCGGGUUGUAAACCUCUUUCAGCAGGGAAGAAGCGAAAGUGACGGUACCUGCAGAAGAAGCACCGGCUAACUACGUG